Small nucleolar RNA from Labrus bergylta (ballan wrasse), 71 nucleotides. Ensembl annotates it as small nucleolar RNA Z40. The record is from Ensembl. NCBI's taxonomy places the organism in Eukaryota, Metazoa, Chordata, Actinopteri, Labriformes, Labridae.
UGUCGUUAUGAUGAUUGGCUUUAUGUUCAACUGCUCUGAUGUGUGAUUGAUAGAUGCCUCUCUGAACCAUC